UACGUAGGGGGCAAGCGUUAUCCGGAUUUACUGGGUGUAAAGGGAGCGUAGACGGCAUGGCAAGUCAGAUGUGAAAGCCCGGGGCUCAACCCCGGGACUGCAUUUGAAACUGUCAGGCUGGAGUGCUGGAGAGGUAAGCGGAAUUCCUAGUGUAGCGGUGAAAUGCGUAGAUAUUAGGAGGAACACCAGUGGCGAAGGCGGCUUACUGGACUGUAACUGACGUUGAGGCUCGAAAGCGUGGGGAGCAAACAGG
RNAcentral lists this ribosomal RNA (253 nucleotides) under uncultured bacterium. Its description in RNAcentral is "partial 16S ribosomal RNA". It matches the Rfam family "Bacterial small subunit ribosomal RNA", at positions 524 to 776 of the family's 1533-position model. The record is from RNAcentral.